This 805-nucleotide long non-coding RNA is filed under the name Homo sapiens (human). RNAcentral describes it as "HSALNT0101414". Lineage: Eukaryota; Metazoa; Chordata; Mammalia; Primates; Hominidae. The record is from RNAcentral.
GUAAACAAUGUAGAUGGCAGGAUAUGUGACUGGGAAUCUGCUGAGAAUGUCUUCACAUUACUCACAAGUUAAUAAUUUCCCUAAGAGUGGGAGUUUCUUGAGGAUGUUUAGGAUUUAUUUUUAAGCCUUUUAGAGCUUUGGAAUAACACUCACAGUUUCUUUUUUACUAUUUUCAUGGUGUUCAGAGAUUUCAAGCCCACAUUUUAGAACCCACCCACCUUCAACAGAUGUAGACAAAUUAGAAAUACGCAGGGACCUCUCAAACUCAUUACAGAGCUUAUUUGGAACAUGUGAAUUAUAUAUGCAUUUUCUACCUCAUUAUCUUCAUGGGACACUGUAUAUUGAUUUCAUUGUAAAUCUGCAAUGGUAGCAUCUCACUGUAUAUAACCUGCAACUGUGUCCCCAAGCUAUUAUCAUUUGUGCUAAUGACAAUGCUACCUCCUUUUCACAAUUAGUGCUGUGGAGUAUAUAAGUCAAGAGGCAUUUGCUACGAACCUACUAGGUAGAUACCAAUGCACUAGGGCCUGGGAGGGAAAUAUGCCCUCAGAAGAUUUGCCCCUCCCUGCCUGGUAAAAGAGGCUUCUGAAAAAUUAUAAAGGGAGGAAAAAACCAGUGAGGAAUCUGCAUUUCAAUCAGAUCUGCCCGUGUUUCCAGGUUACCUGAUGGGAAAACAAACCAUCGAGCUUGCUUACCAUUUGUUGAUUUCACAGAUAAUUUUAUUCCAAGUGUGAGUAGACCUAAAAGACAUGCAAAGAUCAAUGCAAUGUGAUUAAAUGAGACUGAAUCAAUAAAUUCCAAAAAGUAU